AAGCAACUAAAACCUACCUGCCUGCGCUGCCUUUUACUGUAGUGUUAUCCCAACCCCUGCUUUCAGCCCAGUGCUGGACAUAGCACGGAGAGUGAAAACAACAACAACAACAGCCUAUCCUCCUGGGCUCUCUCGGGGAAGAAAUGAUUCGGCAAAAAUUCAAGCUAGAGGAAUUUGUCAAACCUGUCUUGCCCCAACCAGAAGACCUGCUGACCUCUCAGGCUAAAAAUACCAUGAUGCAUCUCACCGGCCAGAACCACCGUCUAGCGUCUAAAAAUGUAUGUCAUUCCAAAACACCUAAACUCCAUCUGUCAGCCACACAGGGAGGGGAAGAGGAGGUGGUGAUGGUGGGUCCGCUUAAGACUGGCUCUGCCAUGCUGCCAACACUGGGCCAAGAGGGCCCUGCCACCCAGAGAGACUCCUCGCUCCUAGUCAGGUCUUCCCUGCCUGGCUCAUCCCGACCGAGGGAGGGGGAGAACCUGCCUCCGCGGCGGCCUCUGAAGCUGGCCCCUCUGGAGCUGCCCAGGGAGGUACAGAAGGCCCAUAGACAGAAGAUGAAGGGGAUUGGGCUGGAGGCCAAGGCUGCUUCCCGCAAACUGGACACUACAGUGGGGGACCAACCCUGCCCCGGGAAGGUGAAGGCCUAUGGGGUGAGAGGAGAGAGACCAGAACUGGUUAAAGGUGCGGCAGAGUGUGUCUCCACCCCAGCCCCACGUCCCCUGCCCCUGAAUGAAACAGCACCCAGAGUCCAGCGACAGCAGAAGGUUCUGAGAGCGGAGCUUGCUCAUGCCAACCCAAUCCAGAGACACACAGGAGAAAGACUCUCAGAAGAUAUUGGCUCUACCAUUAAAGACUUCCAUCCUCCUCCUAGAAGCAAACCAGUCUCUCCCUCUGCCUCUUUCCCCAUCAGUGCCAAAGCUCAGGCCCAGCAGGGCACUAGCACCACGUGGCGAGGAGAGCGUAUGCCAAGCUGCUGGCCCGUUCCAGCAGGAGACCGGCAAAAAGAGGCUGCGUCUGAGGAGGGCAGAGCGCCUUGAGGAGGAUCAGAGCAAAUCUAACAUGUCAACAGAAGGAUUACCUGGGGAAGAGGCCAAGCUGGCCCAAGGGUUCCAGCAGGGAAAAGCCCUGAAGGUAGAGAAGACAGAGAAGACUAGGAGGACAGAGAAAGCCCUGAAGGAGGCCAGUCGCAUGCUGGAGAAGGCUUCCAGGAAGAACGUCAGGCCGGAAUCACUGGAGAACCCGCUGGAAGUGUCCGGAAAGGCCCUCAGGAGGAUGGCAGUGAGCAACCUCCAGGACGCUGUUCUUUGACCUCUGACCCAGGAUCUUUGACCUCUUAACCCCUGACUCCCUUUGACCAGCCCAGGAAGUCGUGAAAACAGACUUGACAGUGUUAAACCGUGUGUUUACUUGUUUUUAUCACCUGGAAAUGACUUUAGAAAAGCCCCUGCAUCUUACUUCACAUAGCAUCUGGUAUUCAUAGCAACAAGCCAGUUACAUUGCCAAGUACCCUGGCAGGCAGUAUCUAUAGUAUAUAAAACAGGAUAAAUAUAGAAGUAUAUUAUGAACCAUAUGUAUUUAAUAUUUUGUAGAAAGAUGAUUGUAAUAAAAAUGUUUGCAUGCCAACAUGGUACCAUUAGAAUAAAAUAAUGUAAAAAAAAUUGUGACAUUUAACCAUCGUAGAUAUUCUGACAUAGGCUAUUCAAUCUCAUAUUUUGGAUGAGAUAUGUCUGCAUAUGCAGGUGACAUAAUUGUAUUUGUGCUUCACAGCGUAUGUAAAGCUAUGCGAAACUGACAUGCAUUCAGGGAUUAUCAUCACGGGCUCAUCAAACCGAUACAUUGGCUUCAUCUACGACCCCCGAAACAGCUCCAUCUACACCAAACAAUGGCAUUGAGUAGUAACAUAGCAGAACUCACAAAACAGAGCCGCAACAGUAAUCGGAUGUUUACAUUGACAACAGCAAAUAAAGUUCAUGAGAUUUGAAA
This 1983-nucleotide long non-coding RNA is filed under the name Salmo salar (Atlantic salmon). RNAcentral describes it as "lncRNA (ENSSSAG00000096670.1)". The record is from RNAcentral. Lineage: Eukaryota; Metazoa; Chordata; Actinopteri; Salmoniformes; Salmonidae.